Molecule: non-coding RNA, 225 nt
Organism: Vicia faba (fava bean)
Lineage: Eukaryota; Viridiplantae; Streptophyta; Magnoliopsida; Fabales; Fabaceae
Source: the annotation of a GenBank genome assembly
AUGCCUCGUUCAUUAUCUGCUUCCGACAACGCCGAUAAUAGGAAACAGGUACGAUUUAGGAGGGAAUCCGACUCAAUUGGAUGUGAAGCUCGUCUACGUCAAGAACAAACCCUCGAAGGUUUUGAAAGUUUAUGGAUUGAAGGCGACAAUUUGGUUAGUCUGUUGUGUUUAUGUGAUGAGGUUGUUGCAGAGGUUUUACUGGUGAAACAGGGAGUUAUGACAUAA